Clupea harengus (Atlantic herring) is the source of this 543-nucleotide long non-coding RNA. RefSeq lists it as uncharacterized. NCBI's taxonomy places the organism in Eukaryota, Metazoa, Chordata, Actinopteri, Clupeiformes, Clupeidae. The record is from RefSeq and is a predicted model, not a curated record.
GGCCAGCCAAUGGGCUACCUGCACACCUGAGAGGGCGCAUGGUAUAUAGAGACCCUCUUACCUGGGACAUUGAUAAGAUAAACUCCAGAGGGAAACAUGCCAGGAAGAGGCUACAGCAGUGUGUCAAGCGAGGACCAAGACGCUGAGCAUGAUGGAAUGACCAGCCACAAAUUUUCUCACAAAAAAUCUGAAAGUCUGAGAGAGUGGACUGAAGAAGAGUACACACACAUUCCAGAGGAGAAGGCCAUUCAUUCCAACCAAGUGUGUUUCGAGAGGGUUGCAUUACAGGCCGUCCCAACUGGUUUAGCAGCUGAAGAACAUUCAGAGGAAAACCCAGGACCCAGAGAUCAAGACCAAUGGAAAGUUUAGGCAUUGCUACAAAAUCCUACAAAAGACUGGAAGAUGAGUUGGAAAAGACGCAAAGAGAGUUGAAAGAGUGCAGAAGGAGACUGAAGGAAGAGGAACAGAAGGCUAAGCGUUACCAAAGGAAGGCUCUCAUCUACAAAGCACAUAUUUUACACUGCCGAAAGACCUACGGCAUCA